RNAcentral lists this unclassified non-coding RNA (542 nucleotides) under Hevea brasiliensis (rubber tree). The record is from RNAcentral. Lineage: Eukaryota; Viridiplantae; Streptophyta; Magnoliopsida; Malpighiales; Euphorbiaceae.
GUGAAACAACUGUGUCGUAUCACCGGCUGCAACUUCAGUCAAUGAACUACAUGCAACAACUGUGUACGCUCAACCAAAAAGACAAAUUAUUCUUCAUAUUCUACGCAGGAAGAGCAACUUCUAAUCAACAUCUCCCACUAAGCAAGUACUUGUAAGAGAUCAACUUCUCAUACCCCAUAAUUUGUCUUUGUAAACAAGUACAUUCUCACAACGCUAUAACACUCUUCUUCAAGACAGAAACCCCGCACCCCGCCUCUUCAACUCAACCCCCACCACUCUCAAAUAAUAGAGCAUUCCAUAAUAGGAGCAAUAAUAAAAGGCAUCAGCAGUAGUAAACACACUGACUGUAUCCAACAAACAAAGAAGAGAUCGCAGAUUUUGAAACAACAGUCUGAUCAAACAAACACACAACAUACACAAUACCUAUUUUUGCAUAUAAGUUCCAGUAAACAUGCUGAUCAGAGCUUGCAGGCAUAUCACAUAUUUUAUUUUAUUUUUAUAGGUGAAUCUUAUAACAAAAGUAAGCACUUUUGAAUAAGAAU